AACGCAAAUUGCGCUCGAGGCUUCGACCAAGAGCAUGUCUGCCUCAGCGUCGGGGUAAUACUCAUUCAACUAACCCAUCAUUGCGGUUAGGGGAGUGGAUCUGGCUGUCUCGGUGCAUUACAAAUACUAAUACAACGGGUCAGCUGAAGUGGGCAGAUGUCAAACCAUGGACCGCUACAACAAGCCUCUACUGGGUAGGCAACUCGCUUGCUGAAAUGCUUUAGUAGAUGGCUUGGGUGCUGUGUUUGGCACAAAGCAGGAGUACUUGCUCGUACAAGUACGACACCCCUAUUUUCUCGACCUGAGCUCAGGCAAGAUUACCCGCUGAACUUAA
RNAcentral lists this unclassified non-coding RNA (334 nucleotides) under uncultured fungus. RNAcentral's name for it is "partial contains 5.8S rRNA and ITS2". Lineage: Eukaryota; Fungi. The record is from RNAcentral.